AGAGUUUGAUCAUGGCUCAGGACGAACGCUGGCGGUGUGCCUCACACAUGCAAGUCGAACGGGGUAGCAAUACCCAGUGGCGGACGGGUGAGUAACACGUGGGAAUCUGCCUCUAAGUGGUGAAUAACUGGCCGAAAGGCUAGCUAAUGUGCCAUACGCCGAAAGGUUAAAGCAGCAAUGCGCUAAGAGAUGAGCCCGCG
This 200-nucleotide ribosomal RNA is filed under the name uncultured bacterium. Its description in RNAcentral is "partial 16S ribosomal RNA". It matches the Rfam family "Bacterial small subunit ribosomal RNA", at positions 8 to 235 of the family's 1533-position model. The record is from RNAcentral.